This is a regulatory RNA element of Sporanaerobacter sp. PP17-6a, 145 nucleotides long. It matches the Rfam family "Ribosomal protein L20 leader". Rfam says of the family: This family is a putative r-protein leader autoregulatory structure found in B. subtilis and other low-GC Gram-positive bacteria. NCBI's taxonomy places the organism in Bacteria, Bacillati, Bacillota, Tissierellia, Tissierellales, Sporanaerobacteraceae. The record is from Rfam.
AAAAUUAAGCAGAAGUAUCCGCUUCUCACCUUAUAGCUGGGGCUCAUAAGGUUAAAUAUUUUAGAUAGUUAUUGGUUUGACAAAUUAUUUUUGUCUGAUUGUUGGAAAAAGAAGCGGGUAUUUUUGCCCGCUUUUUAUUUUUUAU